RNAcentral lists this unclassified non-coding RNA (21 nucleotides) under Dictyostelium discoideum. The record is from RNAcentral. Lineage: Eukaryota; Evosea; Eumycetozoa; Dictyosteliales; Dictyosteliaceae.
AAUCCGAGAAAUGUAAUUGAU